CGAGAUUGUACAUUGCUACGGAAGUGAGACAACUGGAUGAUAAAAUUGCUAGCUAAGACUGUUGUGAUGGAAACUUCUCUAUAAACUUGUUAAGUGCAUGACGUCAAACAGAUGAGUUUGUGUCAUAUGAGCAAAUGAAAUAAUUGUAGGUUAUAUUAUUGUAAACAACACGAAAUUCUGUUGAACACGUUACAGUAAGAAAGCUUAGUGCAGUUAACUUAAUCAUCUUUACAUCAUUACAUGUAAGGAGGGCCUCAUAGAAGAAAUGACAUGAUGGUAGAUCAGUGAACAAGCUGCCCAAGGAACAGAAACUCAUCUUCCAAUCCAUCUUUCAUCUUUCAGGGAGCAUCUGACACAGGAGUUCACAAGCAAGAUGUGCAAAGUGAGUGGUGGCUCCCUCAUAUUGGAACCAUGAAGUUCAAGUUCCACAUCUCACAAUGAUAUGAGGAAAAUAUCUUUCAGGAACCCUGUGCAGUGGUGCAGUGAAGGAGAAGGAAGCAGAUACAGAUCUGUUAAGCAGUCAUCCAAUAUAUUUGCUCACUAGGUCAUUGCAAAUCUGUGUUAAUGACUCGUGUCAACUGUGGCGUGAGGAUUUUCAAUAAUUCAUAGAUGACAGUUCCAACUACCGAGUAUUUUGUUUGGUGCAACGAGGAAAGUGCUACUGCACUCAUCGGCUCAAUACAUGGGUCUAAAGUAAGCAGGAGUUAAAAUUUGCCCUUCCUGUGAAUAGUAGGAGUGCAGUUGCUGUUUCCUUAUUACUUUCCAUGCAGUACUGUACAGCAGCAACCUGAUCUUCAUGCAGAUUCAUGCACAGCAAAGGGGGUAAAAAAUAAAAAAAAAAUCCUGCAUGGCAUAUAUGGUUAGUGGCACAUCUACAACAUUUUUACAACAAUGUCCACAUUCUUUUUUCUCUAAUGGUAAUGCCAAUGCAUGCUUCUACAGAAUACUAAUCAGUCCAUGCCAGGUCUGCUGCAAAGAAACUGUUCCAAAGCUUAUGUGACUCUUACAGCAAAUAUUUCUUAAUACAGUUACUCCUAAAGUUUUAAGGAAGUUAAAAAGAUGUGAUGUUUACAGACAAUUACCUUCAUGUUCUAUCUUCAUUUUGUAUGCACCAAGGCAUGCAAAAACUUGGUGAAGGCUCCAUGAACUGCCUUCUGUGGUAUUUGUUCAAGGAUUGUUUCACAAGUAAACAGUUUUAAAAAAGUCUUUUUUUAUUUUUUUAUAUUACAAAUCAGAUGGUCAUUGUCCGGACCAUAUUUGGGUGCAAUAGUGUCUUGAUUUGAGACACAUAGUAAUGCAUGUGAUCUUCGCAUCCAGUGAGCAUACAAACUGUAUUAUGGGAACAUUUUCCCUCUUUGUGCUUGCUACUCUACCUUAUUCACCUGCAUGUCAGUCUUUAGUCCAUUCUCCUUCCUCUCUCCACAUUAAAAUCAAACAAUGGAAACUCCAGGUAGAAAAAUCAACAAUACAGGAAAAGAUAGAUUACUACUUACCGUAAAGAAGACACAAUUAAGUUGCAGACAAGCAAAAUUAAAAGACACUUAUGCAAAGCAUUCGGCCACAGUUUUCAUCAGCAAAAGAGAAACACACACCGUUCAUACACACAAGCAUGCAUACCACACGCGCACGUGACCAGCAGCUUGGGCCACAGUUGGCGGUCAUGUGUGCUUUCUUCUAUGUAUGAAUGGUGUUUGUUUCUCGUUUGCUGCUGAAGGCUGUGGCCGAAAGUUUCAUGUAUGUGUCUUUCAAUUGUGCCUGUCUGAACAUCUUUCCACUUUAGUUAGAUGAAUGUUUUUGGGAAAGAUGCAGCUGCAUGGUUGAUCAUUUACCUUGUGAGGGUACAGAAUAUUUUAGUAAUUAAGUCUGUAGUGAGAACCAUUUGACAUGGUAAAAGAGGUCUAUGACCAUUUAGAGUCUCAUAAGCCUUGAUAAAUGUAUUAGGAAAUAUAUGCAUUUAAUAUAUUGUUA
Long non-coding RNA from Schistocerca cancellata (South American locust), 1968 nucleotides. RefSeq lists it as uncharacterized. The transcript has 2 exons. Lineage: Eukaryota; Metazoa; Arthropoda; Insecta; Orthoptera; Acrididae. The record is from RefSeq and is a predicted model, not a curated record.